CGGCGGACGGGUGAGUAACACGUGGAUAACCUACCUAUAAGACUGGGAUAACUUCGGGAAACCGGAGCUAAUACCGGAUAAUAUUUUGAACCGCAUGGUUCAAAAGUGAAAGACGGUCUUGCUGUCACUUAUAGAUGGGUCCGCGCUGCAUUAGCUAGUUGGUAAGGUAACGGCUUACCAAGGCAACGAUGCAUAGCCGACCUGAGAGGGUGAUCGGCCACACUGGAACUGAGACACGGUCCAG
Molecule: ribosomal RNA, 244 nt
Filed under: uncultured Staphylococcus sp.
Lineage: Bacteria; Bacillati; Bacillota; Bacilli; Caryophanales; Staphylococcaceae
Description: partial 16S ribosomal RNA
Rfam family: Bacterial small subunit ribosomal RNA
Source: RNAcentral